GAUGAAGAACGUAGCGAAAUGCGAUAAGUAAUGUGAAUUGCAGAAUUCAGUGAAUCAUCGAAUCUUUGAACGCACAUUGCGCCCCCUGGUAUUCCGGGGGGCAUGCCUGUCCGAGCGUCAUUACAACCCUCAAGCUCUGCUUGGUGUUGGGCCCCGCCGCCCCGGUGGGCCCUAAAGUCAGUGGCGGUGCCAUCCGGCUCCGAGCGUAGUAAUUCUUCUCGCUCUGGAGGUCCGGUUGUGUGCUUGCCAUCAACCCCCAAUUUUUUUCAGGUUGACCUCGGAUCAGGUAGGGAUACCCGCUGAACUUAAGCAUAUCAAUAAGCGGAGGA
Molecule: unclassified non-coding RNA, 329 nt
Filed under: soil metagenome
Description: partial contains 5.8S ribosomal RNA, internal transcribed spacer 2, and large subunit ribosomal RNA
Rfam family: 5.8S ribosomal RNA (bases 1-120)
Source: RNAcentral